GCCCCCAAGGCUUAGAUAGCGAAGCGGCGGUAUCGUAAACCGUAGAGCGCGGCGCAAAUCCGCGUGGGGGCUCCA
This 75-nucleotide transfer RNA is filed under the name Actinomycetota bacterium. RNAcentral's name for it is "tRNA-Thr". The record is from RNAcentral. Lineage: Bacteria; Bacillati; Actinomycetota.